UUUUAAAAAUUCUAUUAAUUUGUACAGUUAAAAAUUGAUGUGAUUGACAAAAUAAUCGGACAAUGAUAUGUGAUGUGCCACGUGUACCUUAUUUUGACAUACAUAAAUCAAUUUUUAACAAAAAAAAUAGAUGAAACUUUUAACA
Gossypium hirsutum (cotton) is the source of this 145-nucleotide non-coding RNA. Lineage: Eukaryota; Viridiplantae; Streptophyta; Magnoliopsida; Malvales; Malvaceae. The record is from Rfam.